RNAcentral lists this ribosomal RNA (748 nucleotides) under uncultured soil bacterium. Its description in RNAcentral is "bacterial SSU rRNA". It matches the Rfam family "Bacterial small subunit ribosomal RNA", at positions 37 to 776 of the family's 1533-position model. The record is from RNAcentral.
UAGCGGUGUGGCUUAGGCAUGCAAGUCGUGCGCGAAAGUCUUCGGACGAGUAAAGCGGCGAAAGGGUGAGUAACACGUAACCAAUCUACCCCUGAGACUGGAAUAACCACUGGAAACGGUGGGUAAUGCCAGAUGGUCCAUCCUGGAGGCAUCUCCGGGCUGGUAAACGGUGGCGUAAGCUGCUGCUCUGGGAAGAGGUUGCGGACUAUCAGCUAGUUGGUGAGGUAAUGGCCCACCAAGGCUAUGACGGUUACCGGGUCUGAGAGGACGGUCCGGCACACUGGGACUGAGACACUGCCCAGACUCCUACGGGAGGCUGCAGUCGAGAAUCUUCCGCAAUGGGCGAAAGCCUGACGGAGCGACACCGCGUGCAGGAUGAAGGCCUUCGGGUUGUAAACUGCUGUCAGGUUCUAGGAAUGACAUGGUGUAAAUAGCGCCAUGUUUGACCAAGACCAAAGGAAGCAACGGCUAACUCUGUGCCAGCAGCCGCGGUAAGACAGAGGUUGCAAGCGUUGUUCGGAAUUACUGGGCAUAAAGCGCACGUAGGCGGUCCGCUAAGUCAUGUGUGAAAUCCCCCGGCUCAACCGGGGAAUGGCGCCUGAUACUGGCGGACUCGAGAUCGGUAGGGGUGAGUGGAACUCCAGGUGGAGCGGUGAAAUGCGUAGAUAUCUGGAGGAACACCGGUGGCGAAAGCGACUCACUGGACCGACACUGACGCUGAGGUGCGAAAGCUAGGGUAGCAAACGAG